Molecule: ribosomal RNA, 401 nt
Filed under: uncultured bacterium
Lineage: Bacteria
Description: bacterial SSU rRNA
Rfam family: Bacterial small subunit ribosomal RNA
Source: RNAcentral
AACGAACGCUGGCGGCGUGCCUCAUACAUGCAAGUCGAGCGAGAAAGGUUGGGCAACUGACCGAGUACAGCGGCAGACGGGUGCGUAACACGUGGAUAACUUACCUGAAAGUCGGGGAUAAGCCUCCGAAAGGGGGUCUAAUACCGGAUAACAUUUUGAAGUGGCAUCACUUCUUAAUCAAAGCUGGCCUCUGCUUGCAAGCUAGCGCUUUUAGAUGGGUCCGCGUCCGAUAGCUAGUUGGCGGGAUAACAGCCCACCAAGGCUCCGAUCGGUAGCCGACCUGAGAGGGUGUACGGCCACACUGGGACUGAGAUACGGCCCAGACUCCUACGGGAGGCAGCAGUAGGGAAUAUUGGACAAUGGGCGAAAGCCUGAUCCAGCGACGCCGCGUGGAGGAUGAA